RNAcentral lists this long non-coding RNA (281 nucleotides) under Elaeis guineensis (African oil palm). Its description in RNAcentral is "long non-coding RNA (EGUI_LNC028805)". Lineage: Eukaryota; Viridiplantae; Streptophyta; Magnoliopsida; Arecales; Arecaceae. The record is from RNAcentral.
GGAUCAAACUUGGGCCGGCCCGAUUGAGUUCAGACUUGCUCGGGCCUUAAAUUUUAAAACAUUUUCAAUCAUAAGUCCAAUCCCAAGUCCAAAAAAAUAUUUCAGGCUGGACUUGGUAGACUUGAGCAUGGGUCGAACAGCCCACCCGAUCUGAUAGUCCCGGCCUGUGAUUUGAGCGGACUUGGACAUAGAGAAUUCACAUAAGUCCCGACCCAACCUAAAGCCCGAGAGGCCUGUUUACUUUUAUGGUCCCGAGAAUCUAUGCAAAUAAUUAGCCCGGC